Molecule: ribosomal RNA, 723 nt
Filed under: uncultured bacterium
Lineage: Bacteria
Description: bacterial SSU rRNA
Rfam family: Bacterial small subunit ribosomal RNA
Source: RNAcentral
AAGAUUAAUACCUGAUGGUAUCUUAAGCACACAUGUAAUUAAGAUUAAAGAUUUAUCGGUGUACGAUGGGGAUGCGUUCCAUUAGGUAGUAGGCGGGGUAACGGCCCACCUAGCCUACGAUGGAUAGGGGUUCUGAGAGGAAGGUCCCCCACAUUGGAACUGAGACACGGUCCAAACUCCUACGGGAGGCAGCAGUGAGGAAUAUUGGUCAAUGGACGAGAGUCUGAACCAGCCAAGUAGCGUGAAGGAUGAAGGUCCUACGGAUUGUAAACUUCUUUUAUAAGGGAAUAAACCCUCCCACGUGUGGGAGCUUGUAUGUACCUUAUGAAUAGGCAUCGGCUAACUCCGUGCCAGCAGCCGCGGUAAUACGGAGGAUGCGAGCGUUAUCCGGAUUUAUUGGGUUUAAAGGGAGCGCAGACGGGUCGUUAAGUCAGCUGUGAAAGUUUGGGGCUCAACCUUAAAAUUGCAGUUGAUACUGGCGUCCUUGAGUGCGGUUGAGGUGUGCGGAAUUCGUGGUGUAGCGGUGAAAUGCUUAGAUAUCACGAAGAACUCCGAUUGCGAAGGCAGCACACUAAGCCGUAACUGACGUUCAUGCUCGAAAGUGUGGGUAUCAAACAGGAUUAGAUACCCUGGUAGUCCACACGGUAAACGAUGGAUACUCGCUGUUGGCGAUAUACGGUCAGCGGCUUAGCGAAAGCGUUAAGUAUCCCACCUGGGGAGUAC